AGGACGAACGCUGGCGGCGUGCCUAAUACAUGCAAGUCGAACGCUUCUUUCCUCCCGAGUGCUUGCACUCAAUUGGAAAGAGGAGUGGCGGACGGGUGAGUAACACGUGGGUAACCUACCCAUCAGAGGGGGAUAACACUUGGAAACAGGUGCUAAUACCGCAUAACAGUUUAUGCCGCAUGGCAUAAGAGUGAAAGGCGCUUUCGGGUGUCGCUGAUGGAUGGACCCGCGGUGCAUUAGCUAGUUGGUGAGGUAACGGCUCACCAAGGCCACGAUGCAUAGCCGACCUGAGAGGGUGAUCGGCCACACUGGGACUGAGACACGGCCCAGACUCCUACGGGAGGCAGCAGUAGGGAAUCUUCGGCAAUGGACGAAAGUCUGACCGAGCAACGCCGCGUGAGUGAAGAAGGUUUUCGGAUCGUAAAACUCUGUUGUUAGAGAAGAACAAGGACGUUAGUAACUGAACGUCCCCUGACGGUAUCUAACCAGAAAGCCACG
RNAcentral lists this ribosomal RNA (498 nucleotides) under Enterococcus faecalis. Its description in RNAcentral is "bacterial SSU rRNA". It matches the Rfam family "Bacterial small subunit ribosomal RNA", at positions 26 to 495 of the family's 1533-position model. The record is from RNAcentral. Lineage: Bacteria; Bacillati; Bacillota; Bacilli; Lactobacillales; Enterococcaceae.